RNAcentral lists this ribosomal RNA (461 nucleotides) under uncultured bacterium. RNAcentral describes it as "bacterial SSU rRNA". It matches the Rfam family "Bacterial small subunit ribosomal RNA", at positions 791 to 1261 of the family's 1533-position model. The record is from RNAcentral.
UAGUCCACGCCGUAAACGAUGGACACUAGUUGUUGGGUUUAUACUCAGUGACUAAGCGAAAGUGAUAAGUGUCCCACCUGGGGAGUACGAUCGCAAGAUUGAAACUCAAAGGAAUUGACGGGGGCCCGCACAAGCGGUGGAGCAUGUGGUUUAAUUCGAUGAUACGCGAGGAACCUUACCAGGGCUUAAAUGUAGAGUGCAUGAUCUAGAAAUAGACUUUCUUCGGACUCUCUACAAGGUGCUGCAUGGUUGUCGUCAGCUCGUGCCGUGAGGUGUCAGGUUAAGUCCUAUAACGAGCGCAACCCUCGCCGUUAGUUGCCAGCACUUCGGGUGGGAACUCUAACGGGACUGCCUGUGAAAGCAGGAGGAAGGCGAGGAUGACGUCUAGUCAGCAUGGUCCUUACGAUCUGGGGCUACACACGUGCUACAAUGGCAGGUACAGAGCGCAGCCACUUCGCGAG